Paramisgurnus dabryanus is the source of this 1124-nucleotide non-coding RNA. Lineage: Eukaryota; Metazoa; Chordata; Actinopteri; Cypriniformes; Cobitidae. The record is from RefSeq and is a predicted model, not a curated record.
AGUACGGGGGUGUGGUUGGCUAAUUAGUCCAAGACUUUUUAAGCAGGCACUGGGCAAGAGGCCUUGAAAUGUGGGCCUUGUUUUGAAAGCACAUGGGAUGGUGCUGCUUUGUUUGGCUAUGUGGUGAAUUUGCCCCAGAUGAGAUGCAGAUGAAUUGAGUAAUGCUAACUGGGUGUUUUUGACACUCUGAUCUGGAUAAAUGUUCAAAAAACCAACUGAUUGUUAUAUCUGCUAUUUGCCAAUGAAGUGUUUUAGAUGUGGAUAAAACCUGGAAUGCUGAUUGGCUGCUUUUUGGGUAGCUGAUAAAGGUAAAGUUGUGUUUUUGGUAUCCUACUUUUAAGCUAAUAAAUGAAAUGGGGCAGUUGGUAACGGUGUUUAAGAAAAUGUUAAUGUUUGAAUAAAAUAAAUGAUGUAUUGUUAAUUUUUGUUUGUUUUUUCUGUUUUAGUUAAGUCGAUUGCUGUUUCUCCCGUGUUGUUUUUGUUUAGUUCCCUGGUCGGCCGGUCUCAGAAGUGUGCUGCAUGGUGGCAGCAAGUGUACAUUGUGAACUGUUUGUGUACGAGUCCGGUUGGCUGGGGUUCUGUUAUCUUUUUUUUCUUUUUGUUUCUUUUUUAUUGAUGACCAUCUUCCCAGCCUUAUGUCAUUAGCUCGACCCGUGCUUGUAUUCUGUGUGUGUAUCCCUUUGGGGUAUGGGAUCCAUGUUUGCUGUGGUUUUCUUUGAAGUUAUGAGUGAAGGGUUAUGUUUUGAGUUGUUUUCUAUUUGAAUUGUGGUGUUUAUUUCCAUUUUUUGGUUCUUUCUUUUUACUGUCAUCAAGAAAUUGAUGUUUCCUAAUACCUUGAAGGUUUUCCACACACAACAGAACCAGCUACUAUAGAGAGCUUUGAGCUGGUGGUUAACAUCUUUAAGAGCUGAGAUUAAUUUUGUAUUAAUUUAUUUAAAUAAAUCAUUUCAUGUCUGUUUAAUUGUGUACAUUAUUUUUGCCCUAUCAUUUGUAAUAAACCUUUUUUGUUGUACUUUGAGUAGUCCAAAGGGUUUUGACUUUGUGCCUGUGCAUUAAACAAGGUAUUCUCUUUCAACUAAUUUUGAAGGGGUGGCGUAGUGCUACAAUUUGGCGUAGUCGGCAGG